Molecule: long non-coding RNA, 5959 nt
Organism: Capsicum annuum
Lineage: Eukaryota; Viridiplantae; Streptophyta; Magnoliopsida; Solanales; Solanaceae
Exons: 2
Source: RefSeq, a predicted model, not a curated record
UUUAGUUUAAUAAAAAUAAGUUGUGAUGUCACCAAAUUUUUUUGUGAAACAAAUGGGUUUAGUUGGUUUUGCCCUAACUUCACUCAUCAUUGAUCUGCCCAACCCAUCUGUGGGUCAAAUUUAAACUGAAUUUGCCACUCCUCUCAACUCAACACGUUAUCCCAAAAAAAAAAAAAAUAUCAAAUGAAAAGACAAAACCAUGGGCUGAGCUUUUGAGUUCCCGUGGCCUUUUUGCUUUGGGAAUCUUCCUCAAAUCCUUUUUUUUUAAUUGAAAGGUGGGCAAAUUAGUCCAUCUAUUAAAAAGGAAAAGUUUGACAUCUGUAACAAUCAAAAUAUGGCCAACCGGCCCAUAUCAAAAAGGAAAUAAACAAAAAAUAAAUUAAAUCCUAAAAUAGACACAAUUGUCCAGAGAUUUCUAGACCAUUCGGCAUUGCAUCUCCAACGAGCUGUUGGCAGCAUCUUCAUCUUAUCAUCCAAUUCUCUUGAAACAAUGGUGUUGUAUAUCUUGAUCUUAUAAAGUCUAUUUGGAAAAUUCUCAACCCUCUCUCUUGAACGCUCCAUCGAUUUCUCAUCUUCUUUAUUGAAGAUUGCAGUUGAUGUUUCAGCGAUGAUACUGUUGAGAGAUCUCGGAGUUGAAAAUUGUUUCCCUGCUACAGAUGAUUCACAGUGAAAUGACGCCUUCAAGCAUAGCAAUUUCAAGGUGAUAAGGGUUUAGAAGAUACCAUAUCGGGUGAUUUAAAGCUCAAAUUUUGAGGAAUUUAAUUGUUUUAGGUGUAAUUCACAAUGGGCGUUUACAAGUCUCACAACGCCGUGAAUUCGUCCUAAUCGGAGACUUCUCCACCUCAACUGAUCCCCAAAUCCAUGCUUAUUACACCAAGAUAAGUGUCAUGGCUUCUUCGUCCUUAUAUUUUAUACCCAAUUGUGAUUGAUAAUUUUACCUCACCUCUUUUUCCUUAACGUAUUGAUCCUAACGAGGGACUAAUGCCACUGCCUAAAAAAUUGGAGGAUAAGGCUCCAUUCCCAACCAUGCCAAGUAUGCAUUUUGUUAUAUUGGUACUGACUUUUUAAUUUCUUUCAUGUAUGCAUAAUCAGUACUUCCGUUAUAUUCACUUUCUUGUUUUCCAUGUUUAUUCACUGUGAAUUCUGUUGAAGAACUCCAAAACAACUAGCUGCUUACCCUCUUAUUAUUAAAAUAUCCAUUUUGGAACAUUUUAAUUCUGAGAUUAGGAACUUGGUUUUUAUCCAUGUUGAGAAACGUUUUGGCCUCCCUAGGUAGUUCCAGAAAGUUUGAAUAAAUUAUUCUACUUGUGCCUGCAAAAAAGAACACUUUGUUAGCAAUAAAAUCAGCCACCUUGUUGCCUUCUCUGAAUAUGUUCUCUACAACAACAUCGACAUCCUUUAUCAUGUGAUGCACAAUUCUUAUCUCCAAAGCUAUAUUCCAUAGUGUAUCCCAUAUUCCAUACAGAAUGUUUUUUAAGGCUAGAGGAUCAGUUUCCAAAAUCACAGGUAGCAAAUUAUUUCUUUUGCAGUGCUCCAAACCCAUCCUCAAAGCCAUUACUUCUGCCAUCAAAUUAUUGGUGUCAACAAUCCUUACUCCCUCAGCAUAUCCCAGAUUUCCUAUGUCAUUUCUAAUGCAGAAAGCACAAGAGCUAAGACCAGGAUUACCCUUUGAAGCCCUGUCAGAAUUACAUUUGUACUUUCCCAUACUGCGCAAUUUCCAGCACACCACAAUACACCCAAUCCUAGGUGUAUAACUUUAAAGAAACCCUACCAAUUCAAACCAAUAAUUAGGAAUAUUGCUUAAUCAAGGAUAUAGGAACUUGGUUAAGUAUAUUAAAUGCCUGGUAAUUUCCAUCCUCAUACUCAUAUAAGACAUCUUGCCACCAUGUUUAAUCACAUUACUUCUUUUACAAAUUUAUCAUAAAAUAAACAUAGGAAUAGCUGUAUAAAUGGGUUUGAGCUUCAGUGUAGUUCUGGCAUUCCACCAUUUAAGAACGCUGUCCUUGAGCUUCAAAAAAGGACCAUCAAUCCCUGCAAUACCUGAAAAAUAAGCCCAAAUGUUCUUAGAAAAAUACAGUGUAUGAAUGUGUGUUCGAUGGUUUCUUGGACCCCUUCUUCACGACGACAACAUUCAACAUCAUCACAAAUCCUAUUUCUGAUAAGGAUUUCCCCUAUAGGCAGCCUUUUCUUCCCCAAUCUCCAUAAAAAGAAUGACACCUUAAAAGGUAUCCCUUUUCUCUAAAUUGUCCUGUAAAUUAGCUUACUCUCUUCUUUUUCCCUUAGAUACUCCCAAGCAUAACUCACUGAAAAUUUUAUAGAAACGUUUAACAGCCACAAUGGCUUGUCCCAAUGUUCAGUUUCUUUAUUACAACACAUAUAAUUGAUUACAUGAUUGCUCACCUCAUCACUAAAAUUUUGUUGUAACAAUUCAGCAUUCCAUCUCCCAUUUGCAACCAGUUGACCCACCUCUUCCAAUUGAUUAUCCCUGAUAAUAUCAAUAGGCAACAAGUAUUAAAGGGAACCCAAUUGUUUCAAGUUGUCAUGCCAAAAACGUGAAUGUCCACAUUUGGGUUCCCACUUUGUCUCUAGAUCAAACAUUUCUUUAGCCUUUAACAUAUGCUUCAAUGUCAGUGAUCCUCCUUUCCAUUCCGCUAAUUGUGACCUAACCUUCUUGCAAUAUUUAUUCCAUAUGUAAUUAGUCCAUAAAGACUUUUGAGUUCUGAAAUUCCACCACAAUUUUGCAAACAGAGCUUUAGAUACAUCAAAUAGUGAUCUGAAACUCAAUCCUUCUACUUCCUUGGGUCUACAGAUAUCAUUCCAAGCCACCCAAUGUUUAUUUUUUCCCACCUCCUUUAAAUUCCAUAGGAACCUUGCAAAAGUUCAAUGUAAAUCAUGAAUAACAAUUUUGGAGGGUUAACAGCAGACAAUAAAUAAAUGGGAAUUCUACUCAGAACAUUAUUUAGAACAUUAUUUAUCAGCACAGCAUUACCACCAAAAGAUAACAUCUUUCCUUUCCAUGUUUGUAAUUUGUUGUGAACUUUUUUCAUCAACUCUGCAAAAUGAACCUUUCUCAUCUUGCAUGCACAGUAGGGCAUCCUAAAUACAUUAGAGGAAAUUUUCCUCCAUUAAAACCAGUACAUUCCUCCACCUCCUAAUGUGAGCAUGAGCAGUCUUAUGAUAUACUAGAAAAGCACUCUUUUCUUUGUUUAUCAUUCGUCCCGAUUGAUCUUCAUAAUCUCUAAGAAUAUUCAUCAUCAAUUUUAUAGACUUGCCAUCAGCCGAAGUAAAAAAUAAUAGUAUCAGCAGCAUAUGCUAAAUGAUUAAUAUUUUCACUCCAUUUUGGCAUACCAAAACUCUUAUAUUCUACAUCAUGAAACAACAAAUUAAGAGCUCCAGAUAAAACCUCCGCAGAAAAAAAAUAAUGCUAGGGAUAAUGGAUCCCCUUGUUUCACUCUCCUUGUAGAAUGGAAAAAACCUUGAGCCUGACCAUUAAUAAGGAUAGAAUACCAGUUGUUAGCAACCAGUCUCCAAAUCUUAUCUACAACUCCAACAUCAAAACCCAUCUUUUCUAAAACUUUUAACCGGAAACGUACAGUCCACCCUGUCAUAAGCCUUUGCCAUAUCAAGCUUAAUCACCAAAUUUGCAGGCUUUCCCCUCAUCCUGAUAUCUACAAUAAUUUAUUGUGCUAAAAGAACGUUCUCAGUAAUACUUCUACCUUUCACAAAACCUGAUUCAUAUUUUGAUAUGAGAUUAGGAAGCAAUUCUUCAAGUCUAUCAUGCAACACUCUAGAAAUUACCUUAUUCGGGAAGCCACUCAAACUUAUUGGUCACAUGUGAGCAAAAGACUAUAUGAUAUCUUAUUUUGGCACAAGAACCAAGUUAGUAUGAGUAAUAGACUUCGGAAGAGUGCUUCCCUCAAAACAUGUAGUCAUUACUUUACACACAUCAUCACCUAUAAUGUCCUAGCAAUUUAGAAAAAAAAAUGGUCAGUAAAUUCCAUCUGGACCACUAGCACUAUCCCCAUUCAAUUCAAAUACCACCUUCUUUACUUCCUCUCUAGUAGGCAAAGCAUUUAUAGCUUGUUUCAUCAGUGAUAAGAGUUGGGAUAUGUUUCAACAAUGAUAGAUCACUAUAUCUAUGAAACCCUGUGAACUGAUCCUAAUAAAAUGACAAAGUUGCAUCAGCCACCCAUUUAGUACCCUCCACCCAUUGGCCAUCCUUAUCCUGGAUCCUGUUUAUAGUUAACCUCUUUCUUCUUCCAUUAACCAAAUAGUGGGAAAAUCUGGUAUUUUUUUCUCCUUUCGAGAACCAUUGAAUACCUGCUUUUUUCCUUCAAAACUCUUCCUUAUAGUGAAUAUAUUGCCUUAAUUUAGCCUGUGCCUUUUGGAGAACCAUUCUAUUUUCAGCAGAUGGGUUUUCUUCAAAUAAAUCUUCUUUUAAUCUAACAAUUUCUUCUCUGGUUAUCAAUUGCUUGAAAACGUCACCAAAAGUUUCUUUACUCCAACUAGUCAAAGUUGUCUUAGUCUUCUUCAUCUUCUCUUUUAAAUUGAUAAAGAUAUCACUGUCCUCUCUUGAUACCCAGACCAAAAUUUAAGAAAUUUAAAUGGUCUUCUCAUACUAUUGGAUUGACUCCCACAAGUAAGCACCAAAGGUGCAUGAUCUGAUCCAGUUCUUGUUGGAUGCACUGAUUCUACCAAACAAAAAGUACCCAAAAAUGAAUUAUUCACCAAAAGUCUGUCUAAUCUUUUAAAGAUACAUUCACUAUCAGUUCUACCAUUCCACCAAAUGAAUGGACUUCCUUUGAAAUUUAUGUCAAUAAAUUCACAUGAAUUCACACAAAAUGCAAAAUCCUCAUAUUCUUGAGGGUACACGGAGAGACCCUCAAUCUUCUCCUCACCACUCAGUAUUAUAUUAAAGUUACCCUCAAUAAGCCAAGGCAGAUUCAUAUUCAUGCUCAAUGAGUAAAUAUCUUCCCAUAAACUUAAUCUCUCCAGGGCAUCGCAUUUGGCAUACACCACAGUAGUUACAAAUGAAUGACCAUUUUCUAAGAAAUUCAAUUGAAAAGAUAAUUGUUGCUCAGUAUCAGAAACAACCUCCACCUGAAUAUGCAUCUGAAUGAAAAUCCAUAUUUUCCAUUCUGAUUGUAGUUUACAUAUUGCAUACCCAACCUCCCCUUGUAUUCCUAGAUUUGAAUAAUAUCUUGAAAUGGCUCCAUCAAAGAAAUAAUAGAGAAUAUGUGGUAUCUGUGAAGCAUUUGAAUUCUAUGGAAUGAAUUUUGGAUCUUUACAGAUCUCACAUUUUAAAAUAAAGCUUUCAUCAUUAUUUAGAACUAGUUCGCACACCCCUCAUAGGAUUUACCCUUGUAGGCAAUGUCUCCCCUUUUUUUUUACCUUUAUUAGUCUUUGAACUUGUUUGUGGGGAUAAACUGGUCUUCUUAAACACUUUCCUCUUAAUCUUCCACUGUCUGCAUCUGUUGUGACCCCUUCACCUUUAUAAUCUUUUCCUUCAUAUGAUGUGUAACUAAUUCAUGUAAAGUUCUAACAGGACUUGAUUUUGUACAGAGAACUGCCAGGUCCUGACCUGCAUUAUUUUCCAAUCUUGUUGAUGGAAAUAAUAACAAGGUACCAUCUGCUACAACUGGGUUUUUCAGCCAACAGAUCCAACUGUACCUUCACUCUUGCCAGUUAGGGCGAGUCUUGUUUAUAGUUGCAAAAUCCAAAUGCACUGUCUUACCAGCAGUUGAAGCCAAUGAAAAUAGAGCUUCUUUUACAAAGAAGGGUAGAAGAUCAGGGAAGGAAAUCCACGCAGUUGCUUGGGAUGUUUCUUCAGUUGCUUUGAAUUUUGCAUCGUAUAUGAACGGGCGUAUUUGAUAUGCAUACCCAUCUUUGGCAAUUAUGUAAUACACAUUUUAAGACAUGAUAUUAAUGAAAAUUUCCAUCAGCUCAAACUUCAUUAAAA